This 497-nucleotide ribosomal RNA is filed under the name uncultured bacterium. RNAcentral describes it as "partial 16S ribosomal RNA". It matches the Rfam family "Bacterial small subunit ribosomal RNA", at positions 28 to 507 of the family's 1533-position model. The record is from RNAcentral.
GACGAACGCUGGCGGCGUGCCUAAUACAUGCAAGUUGAGCGCUGAAGGUUGGUACUUGUACCAACUGGAUGAGCAGCGAACGGGUGAGUAACGCGUGGGGAAUCUGCCUUUGAGCGGGGGACAACAUUUGGAAACGAAUGCUAAUACCGCAUAAAAACUUUAAACACAAGUUUUAAGGGUGAAAGAUGCAAUUGCAUCACUCAAAGAUGAUCCCGCGUUGUAUUAGCUAGUUGGUGAGGUAAAGGCUCACCAAGGCGAUGAUACAUAGCCGACCUGAGAGGGUGAUCGGCCACAUUGGGACUGAGACCCGGCCCAAACUCCUACGGGAGGCAGCAGUAGGGAAUCUUCGGCCAUGGACGACAGUCUGACCGAGCACCGCCGCGUGAGUGAAGAAGGUUUUCGGAUCGUAAAACUCUGUUGGUAGGGAAGAACGUUGGUGAGAGUGGAAAGCUCAUCAAGUGACGGUAACUACCCAGAAAGGGACGGCUAACUACGUG